AUGAACUCUAAUACUCUCCUAUAAUGACAUGUCCAGUCCAGCGUUACCCAAGUUCAUGAAAAAGGAAGGAAGAGAACCAAAAAACACAGGCUCAUGCCAGGUGGCAUAAUAUAUAGUCCUGGCUAUGGAUUCACCAGCACUGCUGCCAUCCCCUUCGAGUGUCUGUGUGCUACUCUGCUGUGAGGCCCACCUGUUCCCGUCUGCUGGCAUGAUCCAGUUUUUUUUGUGUGAAAAAGAUAAACGAGGGCCUCUGUACCCUCCACUGUGACCUUACAUUCAAAUUAAAGAGCAGCCACAUGCUAGAUUUGAUCUUAACAUCCACUAGACGGGCUAUAAAAACAUGCAAUAUGAUGACACGUAAGCGGAACUAUAAAAAAAUAUGAAUAAAAGCCUGUUAGUUUCUUUCUUAAA
Long non-coding RNA from Silurus meridionalis, 411 nucleotides. RefSeq lists it as uncharacterized. The record is from RefSeq and is a predicted model, not a curated record. The transcript is spliced from 2 exons. Lineage: Eukaryota; Metazoa; Chordata; Actinopteri; Siluriformes; Siluridae.